CUGGAGUUGGAGCUCAGUGGCAGAGCACUUGCCUAGCACGUGUGAGGCACUGGGUUCAAUCCUUAGUACUGCAUA
This 75-nucleotide transfer RNA is filed under the name Marmota monax (woodchuck). Its description in RNAcentral is "tRNA.Ala". The record is from RNAcentral. Lineage: Eukaryota; Metazoa; Chordata; Mammalia; Rodentia; Sciuridae.